AACAUUUCAUCAUUUCCACAAUUCAAUCAAAUUUCAUAGGUUUAACAACAUCCUUUUCAUAAUUUACACAAUUCAAUCAAAUUUUAUAGGUUUAACAACAACACUUUCAUCAUCCCCAUAAUUCAACCAAGUUUCAUGGGUUUAACAAAAACAUUUUCAUCAUUCCCACAAUUCAAUCAAAUUUCAUGUGUUUAACAUCAACAUUUUAAUCAUUCCCAUAAUUCAAUCAAAUUUCAUGGGUUUAACAAAAACAUUUCUAUCAUUCGCACAAUUCAAUCAAAUUUUAGGGGUAUAACAACAACGUUUUCAUCAUUCCCGCAAUUCAAUCAAAUUUCAUGGGUUUAACAUCAACAUUUUCAUCAUUCCCACAAUUCAAUCAAAUUUCAUGGGUUUAACAUCAUCAUUUCUAUAAUUCCCACAAUUCAAUCAAAUUUCAUGGGUUUAACAUCAACAUUUUCAUCAUUCCCACAAUUCAAUCAAAUUUCAUGGGUUUAACAUCAUCAUUUCUAUAAUUCCCACAAUUCAAUCAAAUUUCAUGGGUUUAACAUCAACAUUUCCAUCAUUCCCACAAUUCAAUCAAAUUUCAUGGGUUUAACAUCAUCAUUUUCAUCAUUCCCACAAUUCAAUCAAAUUUCAUGGGUUUAACAUCAACAUUUUCAUCAUUCCCACAAUUCAAUCAAAUUUCAUGGGUUUAACAUCAUCAUUUUCAUCAUUCCCACAAUUCAAUCAAAUUUCAUGGGUUUAACAUCAUCAUUUCUAUCAUUCCCACAAUUCAAUCAAAUUUCAUGGGUUUAACAUCAUCAUUUUCAUCAUUCCCACAAUUCAAUCAAAUUUCAUGGGUUUAACAUCAAUAUUUUCAUCAUUCCCACAAUUCAAUCAAAUUUCAUGGGUUUAACAUCAACAUUUUCAUCAUUCCCACAAUUCAAUCAAAUUUCAUGGGUUUAACAUCAUCAUUUCUAUCAUUCCCACAAUUCAAUCAAAUUUCAUGGGUUUAACAUCAAUAUUUUCAUCAUUCCCACAAUUCAAUCAAAUUUCAUGGGUUUAACAUCAACAUUUUCAUCAUUCCCACAAUUCAAUCAAAUUUCAUGGGUUUAACAUCAACAUUUUCAUCAUUCCCACAAUUCAAUCAAAUUUCAUGGGUUUAACAUCAACAUUUUCAUCAUUCCCACAAUUCAAUCAAAUUUCAUGGGUUUAACAUCAACAUUUUCAUCAUUCCCACAAUUCAAUCAAAUUUCAUGGGUUUAACAUCAACAUUUUCAUCAUUCCCACAAUUCAAUCAAAUUUCAUGGGUUUAACAUCAACAUUUUCAUCAUUCCCACAAUUCAAUCAAAUUUCAUGGGUUUAACAUCAACAUUUUCAUCAUUCCCACAAUUCAAUCAAAUUUCAUGGGUUUAACAUCAACAUUUUCAUCAUUCCCACAAUUCAAUCAAAUUUCAUGGGUUUAACAUCAACAUUUUCAUCAUUCCCACAAUUCAAUCAAAUUUCAUGGGUUUAACAUCAACAUUUUCAUCAUUCCCACAAUUCAAUCAAAUUUCAUGGGUUUAACAUCAACAUUUUCAUCAUUCCCACAAUUCAAUCAAAUUUCAUGGGUUUAACAUCAACAUUUUCAUCAUUCCCACAAUUCAAUCAAAUUUCAUGGGUUUAACAUCAACAUUUUCAUCAUUCCCACAAUUCAAUCAAAUUUCAUGGGUUUAACAUCAACAUUUUCAUCAUUCCCACAAUUCAAUCAAAUUUCAUGGGUUUAACAUCAACAUUUUCAUCAUUCCCACAAUUCAAUCAAAUUUCAUGGGUUUAACAUCAACAUUUUCAUCAUUCCCACAAUUCAAUCAAAUUUCAUGGGUUUAACAUCAACAUUUUCAUCAUUCCCACAAUUCAAUCAAAUUUCAUGGGUUUAACAUCAACAUUUUCAUCAUUCCCACAAUUCAAUCAAAUUUCAUGGGUUUAACAUCAACAUUUUCAUCAUUCCCACAAUUCAAUCAAAUUUCAUGGGUUUAACAUCAUCAUUUUCAUCAUUCCCACAAUUCAAUCAAAUUUCAUGGGUUUAACAUCAACAUUUUUAUCAUUCCCACAAUUCAAUCAAAUUUCAUGGGUUUAACAUCAUCAUUUUCAUCAUUCCCACAAUUCAAUCAAAUUUCAUGGGUUUAACAUCAACAUUUUCAUCAUUCCCACAAUUCAAUCAAAUUUCAUGGGUUUAACAUCAACAUUUUCAUCAUUCCCACAAUUCAAUCAAAUUUCAUGGGUUUAACAUCAACAUUUUCAUCAUUCCCACAAUUCAAUCAAAUUUCAUGGGUUUAACAUCAACAUUUUCAUCAUUCCCACAAUUCAAUCAAAUUUCAUGGGUUUAACAUCAACAUUUUCAUCAUUCCCACAAUUCAAUCAAAUUUCAUGGGUUUAACAUCAACAUUUUCAUCAUUCCCACAAUUCAAUCAAAUUUCAUGGGUUUAACAUCAACAUUUUCAUCAUUCCCACAAUUCAAUCAAAUUUCAUGGGUUUAACAUCAACAUUUUCAUCAUUCCCACAAUUCAAUCAAAUUUCAUGGGUUUAACAUCAACAUUUUCAUCAUUCCCACAAUUCAAUCAAAUUUCAUGGGUUUAACAUCAUCAUUUCCAUCAUUCCCACAAUUCAAUCAAAUUUCAUGGGUUUAACAUCAACAUUUUCAUCAUUCCCACAAUUCAAUCAAAUUUCAUGGGUUUAACAUCAACAUUUUCAUCAUUCCCACAAUUCAAUCAAAUUUCAUGGGUUUAACAUCAACAUUUUCAUCAUUCCCACAAUUCAAUCAAAUUUCAUGGGUUUAACAUCAACAUUUUCAUCAUUCCCACAAUUCAAUCAAAUUUCAUGGGUUUAACAUCAACAUUUUCAUCAUUCCCACAAUUCAAUCAAAUUUCAUGGGUUUAACAUCAACAUUUUCAUCAUUCCCACAAUUCAAUCAAAUUUCAUGGGUUUAACAUCAACAUUUUCAUCAUUCCCACAAUUCAAUCAAAUUUCAUGGGUUUAACAUCAACAUUUUCAUCAUUCCCACAAUUCAAUCAAAUUUCAUGGGUUUAACAUCAACAUUUUCAUCAUUCCCACAAUUCAAUCAAAUUUCAUGGGUUUAACAUCAACAUUUUCAUCAUUCCCACAAUUCAAUCAAAUUUCAUGGGUUUAACAUCAACAUUUUCAUCAUUCCCACAAUUCAAUCAAAUUUCAUGGGUUUAACAUCAACAUUUUCAUCAUUCCCACAAUUCAAUCAAAUUUCAUGGGUUUAACAUCAACAUUUUCAUCAUUCCCACAAUUCAAUCAAAUUUCAUGGGUUUAACAUCAACAUUUUCAUCAUUCCCACAAUUCAAUCAAAUUUCAUGGGUUUAACAUCAACAUUUUCAUCAUUCCCACAAUUCAAUCAAAUUUCAUGGGUUUAACAUCAACAUUUUCAUCAUUCCCACAAUUCAAUCAAAUUUCAUGGGUUUAACAUCAACAUUUUCAUCAUUCCCACAAUUCAAUCAAAUUUCAUGGGUUUAACAUCAACAUUUUCAUCAUUCCCACAAUUCAAUCAAAUUUCAUGGGUUUAACAUCAACAUUUUCAUCAUUCCCACAAUUCAAUCAAAUUUCAUGGGUUUAACAUCAACAUUUUCAUCAUUCCCACAAUUCAAUCAAAUUUCAUGGGUUUAACAUCAACAUUUUCAUCAUUCCCACAAUUCAAUCAAAUUUCAUGGGUUUAACAUCAUCAUUUCUAUCAUUCCCACAAUUCAAUCAAAUUUCAUGGGUUUAACAUCAUCAUUUUCAUCAUUCCCACAAUUCAAUCAAAUUUCAUGGGUUUAACAUCAACAUUUUCAUCAUUCCCACAAUUCAAUCAAAUUUCAUGGGUUUAACAUCAUCAUUUCUAUAAUUCCCACAAUUCAAUCAAAUUUCAUGGGUUUAACAUCAUCAUUUUCAUCAUUCCCACAAUUCAAUCAAAUUUCAUGGGUUUAACAUCAACAUUUUCAUCAUUCCCACAAUUCAAUCAAAUUUCAUGGGUUUAACAUCAACAUUUUCAUCAUUCCCACAAUUCAAUCAAAUUUCAUGGGUUUAACAUCAUCAUUUCUAUAAUUCCCACAAUUCAAUCAAAUUUCAUGGGUUUAACAUCAUCAUUUCCAUCAUUCCCACAAUUCAAUCAAAUUUCAUGGGUUUAACAUCAACAUUUUCAUCAUUCCCACAAUUCAAUCAAAUUUCAUGGGUUUAACAUCAACAUUUUCAUCAUUCCCACAAUUCAAUCAAAUUUCAUGGGUUUAACAUCAACAUUUUCAUCAUUCCCACAAUUCAAUCAAAUUUCAUGGGUUUAACAUCAUCAUUUCUAUAAUUCCCACAAUUCAAUCAAAUUUCAUGGGUUUAACAUCAACAUUUUCAUCAUUCCCACAAUUCAAUCAAAUUUCAUGGGUUUAACAUCAACAUUUUCAUCAUUCCCACAAUUCAAUCAAAUUUCAUGGGUUUAACAUUCACAUUUUCAUCAUUCCCACAAUUCAAUCAAAUUUCAUGGGUUUAACAACAACAUUUUCAUCAUUCCCACAAUUCAAUCAAAUUUCAUGGGUUUAACAUCAACAUUUUCAUCAUUCCCACAAUUCAAUCAAAAUUCAUGUGUUUAAUAACAACAUUUCCAUUAUUCCCACAAUUCAAUCAAAUUUCAUGGGUUUCACAACAACAUUUUCAAUUUUCACACAAUUCAAUCAAAUUUCUUGGGUUUAACAUCAACAUUUCAUCAUUUCCACCAUUCAAUCAAUUUCAUAGGUUUAACAACAACAUUUUCAUCAUUCCCACAAUUCAAUCAAAUUUCAUGGGUUUAACAUCAUCAUUUUCAUCAUUCACACAGUUCAAUCAAUUUUCAUGGGUUUAACAUCAACAUUUCUUCAUUUCCACAAUUCAAUCAAAUUUCAUAGGUUUAACAAAAACAUUUUCAUCAUUCACACAAUUCAAUCAAAUUUCAUAGGUUUAACAAUAGCACUUUCAUCAUUCCCUUAAGUCAAUCAAAUUUCAUCGGUUUAACAUCAACAUUUUCAUCAUUCACACAUUUCAAUUAGAUUUUAAGGGUUUAAAAAAAUAAUUUUUAUCAUUCAUAUAUUUCAAUCAAAUUUCAUGCUUUUAACAACAAUAUUUUCAUUUAAUCACACAAUUCAAUCAAAUUCAUGGGAUUAACAUCAUAAUUUUCAUCAUUCCCACAAUUUAAUCAAAUUUCCUGUUUUUAACGUCAUCAUUUUUAUCAUUCACACAAUUCAAUCGAAUUUCAUGUGUUUAACAUCAACAUUUCAUCAUUUCUACAAUUCAAUCAAAUUUCAUUGGUUUAACAACAUCACUUUCAUCAUUCCCAUAAUUCAAUCAAAUUUCAUGGGUUUAACAUCAUCAUUUUCGUCAUUCACACAGUUCAAUCAAAUUUCAUGGGUUUAACAUCAACAUUUCACCAUUUCCANUUUCAUCAUUUCCACAAUUCAAUCAAAUUUCAUAGGUUUAACAACAACAUUUUCAUCAUUCACACAAUUCAAUCAAAUUUUAUAGGUUUCACAACAACAUUUUUAUCAUCCCCAUAAUUCAACCAAAAUUCAUGGGUUUAACAACAACAUUUGCAUCAUUCCCACAAUUCAAUCAAAUUUCAUGGGUUUAACAUCAACAUUUUAAUCAUUCCCACAAUUCAAUCAAAUUUCAUGGGUUUAACAAAAACAUUUCUAUUAUUCACAAAAUUCAAUCAAAUUUUAAGGGUUUAACAACAACAUUUUCAUCAUUCCCACAAUUCAAUCAAAUUUCAUGGGUUUAACAUCAACAUUUUCGUCAUUCCCACAAUUCAAUGAAAAUUCAGUUGUUUAAUAACAACAUUUACAUUAUUCCCACAAUUCAAUCAAAUUUCAUAG
Molecule: long non-coding RNA, 5849 nt
Filed under: Lathyrus oleraceus (garden pea)
Lineage: Eukaryota; Viridiplantae; Streptophyta; Magnoliopsida; Fabales; Fabaceae
Description: Pisum sativum (pea) long non-coding RNA (PSAT_LNC040509)
Source: RNAcentral